This is a transfer RNA of Camelus ferus (Wild Bactrian camel), 72 nucleotides long. It matches the Rfam family "tRNA". From Rfam's summary of the family: Transfer RNA (tRNA) molecules are approximately 80 nucleotides in length. Their secondary structure includes four short double-helical elements and three loops (D, anti-codon, and T loops). NCBI's taxonomy places the organism in Eukaryota, Metazoa, Chordata, Mammalia, Artiodactyla, Camelidae. The record is from Rfam.
GAGGGUGUGACUCAGUGGUAGAGCACGUGCUUAGCUUGCCCAAGGUCCUGGGUUCAAUCCCCAGUACCUCCA